GUAUCUGUAAUAACAUAGCAUCCGGAGUGAGAUCAAUUUCUCUAGCAACUGUUAGAUGUAGCGCAGAUCGAAGUAACUAUGUUGGAUGGAGAGCUAGAAGCAGGAUAACCGUGGCCGAAGUAGAAUACGGCGUUGGCUCUGGUGCCUGCGCCUCGCUGUCUACAUUUAACAUUCAAUAUCUGAACAAGUACUACUACGCUUACACAGGAAGUGCAAAUGCCUAUAUUGUGAGUAUUAAUAAUAAUAAUGUUAAGUCUUACAACUAAAAGUUGGAUUUUACAGGUAAGUUUUAAAAAAGUGAUAAAAGCAACUAAAACACAUUAUUACAGUAAAACAUGAAUUCACUGAUAAAAAUAUAAAAUCUGAACUGCUUCUUUAAAGUAGUUCCAUAAAAGAAUUCAAUUAAUAUUAAAAUAUUAAAUCAAUCAGUUUCUUCAAAAUAAUUCGAUCAAUAACACAAAAUAAUGCAAUUAUUAAAAUAUUCUAUUAAUCAGUUUCAUUGUUCAUUAAAAUUCCUUAGGGUCCAUGGGAUAAAAGCCUUUGCAUAUCUAACAGUUCUAACCUUUGGGAUAUAGUAGUUCUAAGAGUGUUUCAGAGAAUGCCAAUGUUCUUUAACUUUUCGUAAUAAUUGGUUAAAUCUGUGCUUUUCCAUACACAUGCUUGUAAACAUUUUAAGGCAUUCGUUGUUGCCACUGAUUUGCAAGGGAACAGAGUUGGUUUUUUUUUUAAUGCUUCGGUGGACGAAUUGUUUGGAUACAUGCAGUUGAAUUUUGAUUGGGUACGAAAUACUUCACUUACAAUGUACGUUAGUGUUGGUUUAAACCUUGGGCACAGCAAUUAACCAUACAUGAUUGGGAGUGACAACAAGGAGGGCCUUAACAAAAAUGACUAAAAAUAGCCCCACAUUUUGCUUUUUCUCUUCCACCAAUACAGGUAGUGGUGUAAUUAGUUGUGCAACUAUCUUCUAGAGCGAGACAUUCCGGAAGAGGGCCAGUGAUACAGCACUUGUCAUUCAUUAUUCUGGAAAUUUGUAUGUGUCCGGAAGCCCCGCCUGUUCGCGAUGGUACUUUAAGUUUAAUGGAGCAGAAUGCCAAAACCCAGGCACUGUCGAUAUGGUCUUCUACGUGCAAGGAGAUAGCAUGUUUCACAGGGGAUAUGCAUUACACGGACUAUGUAAAGGACUUGCGGCAGGGACGGUUACGGUUUCCCUUCACGUUGGAGCCUGUUACGAUAGCUAUAAUGCAGGCCAUCCCCAUACCGGUUGGAAUCAAGAGAAUAUACUGAUCAUGGAGGAGUCGCGUCUUGGCAAUGAUAUAAGUGCUGUUCUCACCCCAAGUGGUCACGCAUAUCGUCUCCCAGUGGUGAACAGACAGCACGGGUGGUGGCUCAGCCUUAACAACGGG
Lingula anatina is the source of this 1403-nucleotide long non-coding RNA. The record is from RefSeq and is a predicted model, not a curated record. Lineage: Eukaryota; Metazoa; Brachiopoda; Lingulata; Lingulida; Lingulidae.